GAUGAAGAACGCAGCGAAAUGCGAUAAGUAAUGUGAAUUGCAGAAUUCAGUGAAUCAUCGAAUCUUUGAACGCACAUUGCGCCCCCUGGUAUUCCGGGGGGCACGCCUGUUCGAGCGUCAUUUCAACCCUCAAGCCCCCGGCUUGACGUUGGGCGCGGCCCCUCCCUCGGGGGGGGCCCGCCUAAAACCCCUCGGCGUCGCCGUCCGUCCCAGAGCGCAGCGAGUUUUCUGCCCGCGCUACUGGACCGGGCCGCUGGCCGCCGGUGAAUCCAUUUUCUCAAGGUUGACCUCGGAUCAGGUGGGGAUACCCGCUGAACUUAAGCAUAUCAAUAAGCGGAGGA
Molecule: unclassified non-coding RNA, 341 nt
Filed under: soil metagenome
Description: partial contains 5.8S ribosomal RNA, internal transcribed spacer 2, and large subunit ribosomal RNA
Rfam family: 5.8S ribosomal RNA (bases 1-120)
Source: RNAcentral